CAGCAUCCAGAUUUGCCCAAUAGGAACCAGGAUCAGGUGCAGGGGGCGGGACUUCUCAGGGAGGGGCGGGGUUCCAGUGUUAGGCAAUGGGCAGGGCUGCCGGAAGUGGGAAGGAUUUGCACGGAGGCGGAGCUUUGUUGGCAAACCUGCUUGGCCGUUUUGAGUCCCCUACUACCACAAAUUAUGCAACUGAGUUUCCCACAUUUCCACAUUUGAGGAAAUCGCAGGGGUCAGCACAUCUGGAGUGCAAUGAAUAAGCCUCACCCUGGGAAAACCACCUUCGUGAUCAUGGCUUCUCCCUUGCCAGAUGGCAACUGGUACCAAAAUUAAGAAAUGGCUUUUGAUCAAAGAUCAAAUCUAGGGCACUGCCAGAACAGUGGUCUAAAGAUGAAGCAAACGACGUGACUGUCAAAACUUCUGUGAAGAUCUCAGAAAGAGCAAAGGUCAUGCUCACAGCCAUAAAAAGGGCCCUUUAAAGAGAUUGAUGGUAUAUCUCACAGAUUCUCUCAGUGAAACAAUAGUUCUUCUAGGAAGCUGAGGUCUUUCUGCCUCAGCCAAGGCUCAAAGGAGAGAAGAGCUUAUUUCAAGAUUUGUAAAUGUGACUUUUAUCUAAUGGAGUAAAUCCCAAGAUGAUUCACAGGAGACCCACAAACAUCUUAAAACAUUGCCAACUUGGACUCAGGGAAAUAGAGGCAGUGUGGAAAGAGGAGAAGCUUUUGGACCCCAGGAUUAUACUGGAAGGAAGGAGACUGUGAGAGCUGUUUUGCUGUAAACACAUGCUAAACUUCACAACAAAAGGAAGACUCAGAAGGCAGAAUAAAGAACUGAGAAGGUAAAGUUGAGUCAGGGAAAAUUUUUCCCAGGCCUUGAAAUCUAAUCAAGGAACAUCCAACCUUUGGCCAGCUGGAUUUCAGAACUACCAUGGAACAAUGAAUUCUUUGUGUAUUCCGUUUUUUCCCUUUUUGACAGACUGGCUUCUCUGCUGACCCACUGCUUUCACACGAGAUUGCACUGCUUACUGAUCAUAAUUGACUAGCCAGUUAAUUGUGGUCUCCGGAUUCCAAUUUUAAAUUUUUGGAGAAAGAAUCUCAUUGUCCCGGCUUGGGUCAGAGGUUCCAUCCUGAUUCUAUUUCCUUUACCCAGAAAUGGUGGAGCAUUGAGUACAUAGAGCUGCCUUUUCCAGGCCAUUGAGCUGACUCAGAGAAGAUGAGCAUCCUCACAUGAAAAAUUUCCUUAGUUUCUUUAUAAACAAGAGGUCUGAAGCUAUAUAACGCUGAGAGUCAGGGUACUACGCUAGCUGUCUACAAACAUUCAGCAGGCUGUCUGUUACAUGGCAAGCAGUGGAGCUUAUUUAUGCAACUCCAGAAACCAGAUACAGGACGAAUGGUGUCUGUUCUUAAAUACAAGUAUUAAAUUUGGCGUCAAAACUAUCUUGUUGCCAAGACAUGGAAGCAACCCAAAUGUCCAUCAACAGAUAACUGGAUAAAGAAGAUGGGGUACUUCUAUACAAUGGAACACCAGUUAGCCACAAAAAACAAAAUAAUGCCAUUUGCAGCAACAUGGAUGGACGUGGAGAUCAUCACUCCAAAUGAAGUUACUUAGGACGCAGCCCCACCCAUCAGCAGACUUUCUGAGGCCUCAACUACCUCUAGACACACCCCUGGACAUGGCACUGCCCACCAGAGUGCCAGAACCCAACUCUACCCAGCAGUAAGCAGGUACCGACCCCUCCCACCAGGAAACCUGCGCAAGCCUCUAGUCCAUCCUCACUGACCAGGGACAGAUACCAGAAGACUUCCAGAAUGUUGAAUAAAAUUGGUGACAGUGGACAUCCUUGACUUGUUCCUGACCUUAAAUAUGAUGUGAUCUUUGGGCUUGCUGUAUAUGGUCUUCAUUAUGACCAGAUACAAGAGAUGAAGCCAUAUGAAGAUGGAGGCAGAGACUGGAGUGGUGUGUCCACAAGCCAAGAGUGCCAAGGAUUCCUGCAGUAACCAGAAGCUAGGAGAAAAUCAUAGACAGAUUCUCCCUCAGAACUUCAAGAGGCAACCCAUCCUGUCAGCACUGAUUUUGGACUUCUGGUCUCUAGAACGAAUGAAACAAAAAUUAUGAGAUAUCCUAGUUUCAUCAUCUGUGUUCUUGAGAAUCAUGAUCCUCAGUAUGGAAGAAAGGAGAUGAAGAAAUACAGAUGAAUUUAGGCAAGAACCCUGAAGUCCUGCAUUUGAAUUGGAAAUAUUAGCUCAUGAGAGGAAAGACCAUGUGAGGACAGAAAGAGAAGACAUCAUGCAAGGAGGGAGUCUGUGAAUGUCUGACAGAAGGAUUGCAGAAUGUUACAACAAGUGGCUAUAGGGCAUAUUUCCCAUUCUUCCAUUUUCCAAGGACAGAAGAUUCCGACCCCUUGCCUCUGUGAAGGAGAUUUCACAGGAGAUAGAUGUACAAGUGUUGUGUCCUUUACUCUGGAGACAAAGAUGUAUUUUCACAUGCCAUGUUGAAUAAUUUAUCAUCACAUCAUACUCUGAUUUUGUGAGUAAAGUGCAGUUGGGAGUAUCAGAUAGAAAAAGAAUGAAGGACGUCCAUUUCUGUGUUGAAUAGGAGUGGUGAGAGUCGGCAUCCUUCUCUUGUUCUUGAUCUUGAAGAAAAAGCUUACAACUUUUCACCAAUGAGAAUGAUGUCAGCUGUGGGCUUGUCAUAUAUGGCCUUCAUUAUGUUGAGGUAAGUUCCUUCUAUAUCCAAUUGUUAAAGAGUUUUUCAUCAUGAACUAAUGUUGAAUUCUAUAAAAUGGUUUUCUGUUCCUAUUGAGAUUAACAUACGAUUUUUCUAUUUUAUUAAUGUCAGUUAUCAUAUUGAUUUGCACAUGUUCGACUAUCCUUGUAUCCCAGGGAUAAAUCCCACUUGAUCAUGGUGAAUAAUCCUUUUAAUGUGCUGCUGAAUUUGGCUUACUAGUAUUUUAUUGGGAGUAUUUGUAUCAAUGUUUAUCAGAAAUAUUAGCCUGUAGCUUUCGUUUUUGUAGUGACUUUCUGAUCAGAGUAAUGCUGGCCUUGUAAAAUUAGUUUCGGAGUGUUCUCUCCUCUUUGGUUUUUUGGAAGAAUCUGAAAAGGCUUUGCAUUAAUUCAUCUUUACGUGAGUGGUAAAUUUACCAGUGAAGCUGUCUGGUCCUGGGCUUUUCUUUGUUGGUAGACUUUGAUUACUGAUUUAAUCUCCUUACUAGUAAUAGGUAUAUUCUGAAAUUCUACUUCUUGAUUCAGUCAUGAUAGGUUUUAUGUUUCUAAGAAUAUUGGCAUUUCUGGCCAUGGCCUAAUCUAUGGUUUAUUCAUAAAAUGU
Molecule: long non-coding RNA, 3318 nt
Organism: Camelus dromedarius (Arabian camel)
Lineage: Eukaryota; Metazoa; Chordata; Mammalia; Artiodactyla; Camelidae
Exons: 16
Source: RefSeq, a predicted model, not a curated record